Molecule: ribosomal RNA, 506 nt
Filed under: Plateumaris consimilis
Lineage: Eukaryota; Metazoa; Arthropoda; Insecta; Coleoptera; Chrysomelidae
Description: partial 16S ribosomal RNA
Rfam family: Bacterial large subunit ribosomal RNA (bases 380-506)
Source: RNAcentral
GGCUUAUUGAUAGGAGAAUUUUAGGUCUAGCCUGCCCCCUGAUUAUUUAAAUGGCCGCAGUAUUUUGACUGUGCUAAGGUAGCAUAAUAAUUAGUUUUUUAAUUGAAAGCUAGUAUGAAUGGUAUUAUGAAAAAAUUUCUGUCUCUUUUAAAAAAUUAAAAUUUUAUUUUUAAGUAAAAAAGCUUAAAUAACAUUAAAAGACGAGAAGACCCUAUAGAAUUUUAUUUAAAUAAGUUUUUAGUAAAUUAGUAAUUAAUAUUUAAAAAUAAAUUUAUAUUUAAUUGGGGUGAUUAGAAAAAUUAAAAAUCUUUUUUUUAUUUUAACAUUAAUUUAUGACUAUAUGAUUCAUGGUAGUGAUUUAAGAAUAAAUUACCUUAGGGAUAACAGCGUUAUUUUUUUUUAGAGUUCUAAUCAAGAAAAAAGAUUGCGACCUCGAUGUUGGAUUAAAAUUAAUUUUUGGUGUAGUAGCUGAAGUAUUGAGUCUGUUCGACUUUAAAAAUUUUACA